RNAcentral lists this ribosomal RNA (431 nucleotides) under uncultured Elusimicrobium sp. RNAcentral's name for it is "bacterial SSU rRNA". It matches the Rfam family "Bacterial small subunit ribosomal RNA", at positions 958 to 1385 of the family's 1533-position model. The record is from RNAcentral. Lineage: Bacteria; Pseudomonadati; Elusimicrobiota; Elusimicrobia; Elusimicrobiales; Elusimicrobiaceae.
AACGCGAAGAACCUUACCCGGGCUUGAACUACGGAUGGUAAGUCCCUAGAAACAGGGGCUGACCCGCAAGGGAGUCCGCAGAGGUGCUGCAUGGUUGUCGUCAGCUCGUGUCGUGAGAUGUUGGGUUAAGUCCCGCAACGAGCGCAACCCCUAUUCGAUGUUGCUAAUCCCGUAAGGGAUGCACUCUUCGAAAACUGCCUUCGAUAAGAAGGAGGAAGGUGGGGACGACGUCAAAUCCUCAUGGCCCUUAUGUCCGGGGCUACACACGUGUUACAAUGGCCGGUACAAUGGGAAGCAAUGCCGCAAGGUGGAGCCAAACCCACAAAGCCGGCCCCAGUUCAGAUUGUGGGCUGCAACUCGCCCACAUGAAGGCGGAAUCGCUAGUAAUCGCUGAUCAGCAGGCAGCGGUGAAUACGUUCCCGGGCCUUGUA